UUUUCUCUUUGAACGUUGAUUGUGCAGGGUGAACUGCACCGUGGCGGUGUGCCUUCUUCAGGCAUGGAUGAUGUGGAACUUUGUCAACUUUCACUUGCAAAUGAGGAGGGAGCGUUCGGAGGCCCAGCAGAGCUCAGGGGCCGGCUGCCAAGAAGAAGGCCGUCCCUCGCAAAGACCGCAAAGCCAAGAAAGAUGAAUCAGCCACCAAGCGAGCAGCGGACGAGGAUGUCAAUGAGCUGCCCGAGGUGGACCAGAACGCCAAAAAGGAUCUCCGUUCUCGCCAUCUCGCCAGUCCGAAGGCCAAGAGGAGUUAAUCUCUGCCUCCUAAAAUUUUUUUUCUCAAGUUACAUUUAUCUUUUACUCUUCCUUUUCACUCUGCCUUGUUUGCAAUGGACUGCCCCUUCGAUUGUAAAUUUUUACUUCGGUUGUUCAAGGCUUGAAAAUUUGUUUUUUCACUUUGCACUGCCUCUUUGAUUGGAAUUUUUGCUUUGGUUGUUCAAUGCUUCCAAGGCAGGAAAAUUGGUUCUUUCACUUGAUUAGAGUUCAAGAGCAAGGUUUUGCGAGUGAGCUGUACGAGUGUCUGAUCUCGAAACCCAUGUUUUGAAUGGAAAGGGCUUGGGCUUUCUUGGCUUGUAAAGUCCCCAUUAUGGCACAGGGAUGGAACUGUCAGUGUUCUGCUCCAACCUGUUUGCUAAAUUAGCAAUGCAAGCAGAAACUUCACCAAGGCUUACUAUAGAAGAUGUCCAGUGUUACAAGGUUGCAAAGUAAGUGAAGCCAGACGUAGUUGGUGGAGAUAAUGCCUGCGUAUCUGUUCUACACGACCAUGCAGUGCGGUGAACACUCUGGCAAGUUCAGAGCUUGGCUGUCCCAUAUUCUUGAUUUACUGACACUUCUUGUGUUUCAGUUCUAAAUAUUUUGUAAUUACACACUCGUCACAGUAAGAAAGUACCUUGAAUAUAGCUACGCUUUAAAUUUGGUGCAAAAAGUAUGGGCAAAAUUUUCUACAGCUUGCAGCCUAGCACAUUUAAUUAUUGGUCUGCAACUAUCAAUAGGUGAACAAAAAAAGACUAAGAAGAAGUGGUUGCACUAAAGUACCGUCUCGUUUGGCCUCCUGAACAGCUGAACUGAGAUACUUGGGGCGGCCCUAAAAAAUGGCAGCCAGGACACUUAGGCCUUCCACGGUGAUUUUGUAUGCUGCCUUCUCCUUUGUCAUUUUGUUGCUUUACCAACCUGUCAUGUGGUGGUGAGAAAGAGCACCCACACAUACCUCCAGCAUACAUGCCAUUCUACUAGCACCCAGUAGUUGCAUGAAGCUGCUAAGAGAUCAGGGUAGUUUCUGCAAUAGCUACAAAUCAAUGUUGGGUUCUUCCAGUCACCUUUUUCCAAUUUCAAGAGGACCACAUGCUGCUUUGACAGAAGUGUCUUGUUCACUGGUCAUUGUGCAAGAUAUGCUUGUAUCACCAACAGCACCACUAUGUCAAAAGAUACUGUGUAGUAUUCUUUUUUUAACUGUACUUUUUGUCUUUUUCCUUUCUCACUUUAUUUAAUUUUCUUCUUGUAAAACUAGGUUAUCUACUGUACAAUUGGUUUCUUGCGUACCAGGCAAUGUUAUGAGUGUGCACAUUCACGAUCAAUAAAAAGACAACGCAUUGAAUAUGCAGGCUUGCAUUGUGUAACGGAAUGAUAUGCUAAAUAGACUAAUGCCACAAAAUACGACUUUACUGUCAUGCAGAAGGAAAGUCUUUCACAGAUCUGAACCAUUGAACAGGUGGAGUGACAUCUUAAUGACCAGUAGCCUUAGCACACUGUUGUAACAUUUCUUCCGAUGUGCUAAAACAACAAUGGGACAAAGACGUGAUUUGGCUUAACUGGGUGUGCAGAUGGGAGAAAUACGUGAUUUGGCUUAACUUGGUGUGCACAAAUCUUAGCGGUAACGUAUGGAGUAGUUAUUUCAUGAAACACAUUGCAGGCCAAUAAUAGCUAUGCUUUAAAAUUGAGACUGAUUUCAUCAUUGGCUCUUAUGUAUCAAACACUGUGUGCUGUGCUAGCCAUUCAUCCUAUAGUCCUGUCUGCUUAGAGCACACACCACUUACGUGCUCCAGAGAGUGAGAAUCGCAAAGUCAUCUCUUCUUUGUAAUAAAAUGACUUUUCCAUACA
Molecule: long non-coding RNA, 2157 nt
Filed under: Rhipicephalus microplus (southern cattle tick)
Lineage: Eukaryota; Metazoa; Arthropoda; Arachnida; Ixodida; Ixodidae
Description: uncharacterized LOC119169128
Source: RNAcentral